RNAcentral lists this ribosomal RNA (468 nucleotides) under uncultured bacterium. RNAcentral's name for it is "partial 16S ribosomal RNA". It matches the Rfam family "Bacterial small subunit ribosomal RNA", at positions 28 to 507 of the family's 1533-position model. The record is from RNAcentral.
GACGAACGCUGGCGGCGUGCUUAACACAUGCAAGUCGAACGGAAAGGCCCUGCUUUUGUGGGGUGCUCGAGUGGCGAACGGGUGAGUAACACGUGAGUAACCUGCCCUUUACUUUGUGAUAACUUCAGGAAACUGGGGCUAAUACCGGAUAGGAGCUCCUGCUGCAUGGUGGGGGUUGGAAAGUUUCGGCGGUUGGGGAUGGACUCGCGGCUUAUCAGCUUGUUGGUGGGGUAGUGGCUUACCAAGGCUUUGACGGGUAGCCGGCCUGAGAGGUUGACCGGCCACAAUGGGACUGAGAUACGGACCAGACUCCUACGGGAGGCAGCAGGGGGGAAUAUUGCACAAUGGGCGGAAGCCUGAUGCAGCAACGCCGCGUGCGGGAUGAAGGCCUUCGGGUUGUAAACCGCUUUCGCCUGUGACGAAGCGUGAGUGACGGUAAUGGGUAAAGAAGCACCGGCUAACUACGUG